AAAACUUUCAACAACGGAUCUCUUGGUUCUGGCAUCGAUGAAGAACGCAGCGAAAUGCGAUAAGUAAUGUGAAUUGCAGAAUUCAGUGAAUCAUCGAAUCUUUGAACGCACAUUGCGCCCGCCAGUAUUCUGGCGGGCAUGCCUGUCCGAGCGUCAUUUCAACCCUCAAGCCCCCGGGCUUGGUGUUGGGGAUCGGCGAGCCUCCGCGCCCGCCGUCCCCUAAAUCUAGUGGCGGUCUCGCUGUAGCUUCCUCUGCGUAGUAGCACACCUCGCACUGGGAAACAGCGCGGCCACGCCGUUAAACCCCCAACUUCUGAACGUUUGACCUCGGAUCAGGUAAGAAUACCCGCUGAACUUAAGCAUAUCAAUAA
Molecule: ribosomal RNA, 371 nt
Filed under: uncultured Nectriaceae
Lineage: Eukaryota; Fungi; Ascomycota; Sordariomycetes; Hypocreales; Nectriaceae
Description: eukaryotic LSU rRNA
Rfam family: 5.8S ribosomal RNA (bases 3-156)
Source: RNAcentral